GAUGAACGCUGGCGGCGUGCUUAACACAUGCCAGUCGAACGGUGAACCCGGAGCUUGCUCUGUGGGAUCAGUGGCGAACGGGUGAGUAACACGUGAGCAACCUGCCCCUGACUCUGGGAUAAGCGCUGGAAACGGCGUCUAAUACUGGAUAUGUGACGUGACCGCAUGGUCUGCGUUUGGAAAGAUUUUUCGGUUGGGGAUGGGCUCGCGGCCUAUCAGCUUGUUGGUGAGGUAAUGGCUCACCAAGGCGUCGACGGGUAGCCGGCCUGAGAGGGUGACCGGCCACACUGGGAUUGAGACACGGCCCAGACUCCUACGGGAGGCAGCAGUGGGGAAUAUUGCACAAUGGGCGAAAGCCUGAUGCAGCAACGCCGCGUGAGGGAUGACGGCCUUCGGGUUGUAAACCUUUUUUAGCAGGGAAGAAGCGAAAGUGACGGUACCUGCAGAAAAAGCGCCGGCUAACUACGUG
This 469-nucleotide ribosomal RNA is filed under the name uncultured bacterium. Its description in RNAcentral is "partial 16S ribosomal RNA". It matches the Rfam family "Bacterial small subunit ribosomal RNA", at positions 28 to 507 of the family's 1533-position model. The record is from RNAcentral.